GCGCUGGGGACGGCUCCGCCCAGUUCUGCAGCCAGGGGUCCGGCGUUCCGGCCAGACCAGUGGUCCGAACGUGAGAAGACUUAGGGCUCCGCCGCUCUCUCGGGCUGUUCCCCGAAGUGGUUCUGGGAGCCUAGAGGCAUAGGGGCUUAAGGAAGGAAGGGCCAGGGCCAGGGAGGGCGGGAGCGAGAAGGAGGAGAGGGCAGGUCAGCGGAACUGGGAUGGGGCGCAGCCCAGCGGCGGGCACGGCCGGAGGAGAGAGAGGGCGCUGUCUUCCUGGCAAAGGAUCCCUGGCUUGGCCGGCAGGAACCGAAACAAAAAAAAAAAAGAAGAAGAAGAAGAAGAAAGAAAGCACAGGAAAGGAAAUCUGCCUGGUCGACCCGGGGCGGGGGAGGGUGGGGGGUGAGGGACGCACUGUGGGGAGGGCCAAGGGUGGCCGAGCGGAUUCUCAGCCCACAGCCCAGCAACCGCUUCUUCUGCUGCUGCCUUGCUAGCGCCGCGUGGCCCCGAGCGAGACUCUUCUUUGGCCCUAAAGGGCCCCCCACAGUUGGCUUCCCUCCCUCGCUUUCUCCUCUGGAAAACUGGAGGCGUCGGUAUAAGGUCUGCGACGCUUCACUGGCGAUUGAGGUGCCGCGACGUGGCCAAGGAGCCCGCGGAAGAAAACCGCAACGCCAACCAGGCCUUCACGUCGAAGCGCCGCAGCAAAUGGCCUCACCUGGUUUGGCUGCGUCUUGCCGAGGAACAAGGAGGAGAUGGAAGGCCCUCUUUCUUUCAUCGACUGACCUGGGCGCACACUCUGGAAACCAAAGGGUCCCAAGGACAAUUACUGUCAGACAUUCCCCACUCAAACCCAGGAAACUUAAUUUACACUACUUCAGGAGAAAUUCCUGUAUCAUCUACAAAGGAUGUGUUGUCUUUCCAUGCGCAUAACAAACCAGUUGAAGCAAAACAAAGGAUCUCAAACUUACGUAUCUUCAGUCUUGAAAGGUCCCUCUGUGUUAAUGGAUGUAAUUAAAGGCCUUCUAGGUUUGCUGAUAGAUACUAGAACCGAUCAUCUCACAUGUCCGCCAUCGGAGAGUCCCAAGCUCCAGUCUCCACGUGAAUUUCCGGACUCUUCCAUAGCCCUUCCGGUAGAAUCCAGGUGGCCCCAUAGUUCUGCCUUUAGCAGGAGAGCUAUUUCCUAGGAGUAACUGGGUGGGCUGCAAUCCGCCUGCCUCUUCACGUUGAGAAACGCUUCUCUUGUGGGAACGUCUGUUUCUAUUCAUCCGAUUUUCUAAUGUCUUUGAUCAGCCUAAAUAUUUUCUUGGCAAACGGAAAUUGACCAUGCCAUGAAUAUGAUAACAACCUGCUUGGAAAGAAGCUAUUUUGUUUCGAAGCAGCAAGGGGGAGUGGGGGGCCGGGAAGCCAGGGAAGGGAGUAGGGGUCGGGUAACUAGCUGGCUGGUAAGAAUGCCUGAAAUAGAUUCCUGAACAUACAUCUUUUUGCAGUCUCUGAAGCAGCUUUUUGAAAGAUAGUCAGAUAAACACACACCUGGGCUCCUAAAAGUCUUUGAUACACUUUAUAUUUAAAAACAGAACUUCAAUGGACGCCUCUGGAGAAUUUCCUUUAAAACAUAGAUGAAAGGCAAGGUUAAUACAAUGUUCUCUUAAUCCCUUUGGCUUGUGAGUCAAAAUAAAUAUGUUCUUCUGCAUGUGAUUGUACAUCCUGCCAUUUGGCUGUGGCUAUAAGCAAAUCGACCGGUAAUAAAAGUGUUUUGAGGCUGUGUAUUAAAUGCAGUUCUCUUGAAAUCAAGGGUUGGGGGAGGAGGGCCUUACUUCACAGGCAAGAGUUGGUGGGUUUUGAAAAAGCUGCAAGAAAAGGCCUUCACGUCGAAGCGCCGCAGCAAAUGGCCUCACCUGGUUUGGCUGCGUCUUGCCGAGGAACAAGGAGGAGAUGGAAGGCCCUCUUUCUUUCAUCGACUGACCUGGGCGCACACUCUGGAAACCAAAGGGUCCCAAGGACAAUUACUGUCAGACAUUCCCCCACUCAAACCCAGGAAACUUAAUUUACACUACUUCAGGAGAAAUUCCUGUAUCAUCUACAAAGGAUGUGUUGUCUUUCCAUGCGCAUAACAAACCAGUUGAAGCAAAACAAAGGAUCUCAAACUUACGUAUCUUCAGUCUUGAAAGGUCCCUCUGUGUUAAUGGAUGUAAUUAAAGGCCUUCUAGGUUUGCUGAUAGAUACUAGAACCGAUCAUCUCACAUGUCCGCCAUCGGAGAGUCCCAAGCUCCAGUCUCCACGUGAAUUUCCGGACUCUUCCAUAGCCCUUCCGGUAGAAUCCAGGUGGCCCCAUAGUUCUGCCUUUAGCAGGAGAGCUAUUUCCUAGGAGUAACUGGGUGGGCUGCAAUCCGCCUGCCUCUUCACGUUGAGAAACGCUUCUCUUGUGGGAACGUCUGUUUCUAUUCAUCCGAUUUUCUAAUGUCUUUGAUCAGCCUAAAUAUUUUCUUGGCAAACGGAAAUUGACCAUGCCAUGAAUAUGAUAACAACCUGCUUGGAAAGAAGCUAUUUUGUUUCGAAGCAGCAAGGGGGAGUGGGGGGCCGGGAAGCCAGGGAAGGGAGUAGGGGUCGGGUAACUAGCUGGCUGGUAAGAAUGCCUGAAAUAGAUUCCUGAACAUACAUCUUUUUGCAGUCUCUGAAGCAGCUUUUUGAAAGAUAGUCAGAUAAACACACACCUGGGCUCCUAAAAGUCUUUGAUACACUUUAUAUUUAAAAAAACAGAACUUCAAUGGACGCCUCUGGAGAAUUUCCCUUUAAAACAUAGAUGAAAGGCAAGGUUAAUACAAUGUUCUCUUAAUCCCUUUGGCUUGUGAGUCAAAAUAAAUAUGUUCUUCUGCAUGUGAUUGUACAUCCUGCCAUUUGGCUGUGGCUAUAAGCAAAUCGACCGGUAAUAAAAGUGUUUUGAGGCUGUGUAUUAAAUGCAGUUCUCUUGAAAUCAAGGGUUGGGGGGAGGGAGGGGCCUUACUUCACAGGCAAGAGUUGGUGGGUUUUUGAAAAAGCUGCAAGAAAAAGACCUUUCACCUCUCAUUAGUGAUGCCAUCAGUGCUCAGGCAGAGUGGAGCUGAGGUCAUGUUACAUAUGGCACACAGUCUGCUCAGCACUUGAAACGUCAGCUUUGAAAUUUUAGAGAGGGGAAAGGUCAUCUUUAAUAAGCUAAAGUCUGGGGCUCCCAUUGCCCUCUUUGCAAACUGGGUGGGUGUCCAUAUGCUUCAAACCUUCUGCACAAGUUUUCUUUUUUUUAAUUUGCAGUUUUAAGCUGAUUUUUUGUUUCACAUCUUCAUUUAAGCUGUAAUGUUUUCAGCUGUUAAUACACCAAAAGGCCUUUCAUUUUUAUAGCAACUCUGUCAUCUUUCCUUUUCUUCUUAUGCAAUCAUAAAACUGUCUGUUCUGAGUGAUAGCUUUUUAGAACUCAGCUUCCCAGAAGAAAUGAAGUGUAUCUGUCCAUCUGCAUACAUGGAUCCAGACAUGUGGGCUAUAGGGUUACCCUUCUGAGUGGGUAAUUUAGACUUCACUUUUGUACACUACAUAAUUUACUGAACCUUCAAAACAUUAAAACUUCCAUAUUAUGUAAAAGCUCUAGUUUCUGAAAACUUCCUGGUACUACUAAAAUUUUUCAUGCCAUUUACUGAAAUUUCACAUUUUAUUUUUACCAUGUGGGGGAAACUCUCAAAUCAGAAGAUAUUGAUUCUUCUGUAAGGUUUAAAGUUAAGGUUGACAGAAGCUACAGUGGUAGAUAUAGCACUGAAAAAAAGAAGUGCUAAUAUCUCACUUCCUUGUUCAAAAAAUAUUAGGAACAUUUGUGAAUGUUUAAUCCUCAUAUUUUUUCAAGAAGUGAAGUCAACCAAACCCAAGGCACGAAACUAUCCCCAGAUCUCUUUGUAGCCACUGUCAAUAUGGAUAUAAAUAUUUUUCUUUCAUGUCCCUCUGCAAGGAACUCCUCAAUAGUGAUUUGUCAUUUACUCAAUUCCAGAAACUUUUUUUCCUUAUGGACCUACUAAUCAAGAAGAGCAGCCUCAGCACACUUUUGUGUAUUCCUCAUUUCUCUUUAUGUCUGCCAACCCAUGUUGUCUAUUUAUAUAACCCCAAUUUUGGUUGUUGCUUUUUUUUUAGCUUUUUUCUUCUACAUCAAAGUUACGUAUUUUGUCAUUAUAAGAUAAACUUUAUUAAAUAAGACAACUGUGUAUGUUCAGCUUCAACUAGCAGACUGAUCUCUUAAAAUUCCUUCUCCUACUUUGCAAAUUGAAAACAUUGAAACAUCCUCUUGAGUAAACUAGGGGUUCCUUAUUACUGAGAGAUUUAAUGAUUAUGAUAUGCAGAUAGGUGUUACUUUUGCUUUGUCUCUAGUUAGAUUUUUCAAAAAUCCUUAAUUCUGGAUGAGCGAAAAUUUGAAAGAGCAGUCUGUAUGAUAGCAAUUGAAACUAAGAGUGGGUAGAAUAAUUUCACAACCAAGCAUGACAUCAAGUAAAUAAUUUGAUUCUAAUUAGUUUCCUACAUUAGCGUUUACUACUAAAAAGCUAGUUGACUUUGUGAUACUUUAGCUAACCCAAAGCGCUUGAGACUUUGAGGACCCAAAUGAUUAAGUUCAAUCAAUCUAGUGAAUAGAAAGUCAAGAUUACGAUGCACACUGUGGUCUCAGGGAGUGCAUAUGUGUUCGAGAGAGAGGUACUGUUGCUUUUUUUAUUUUUGACUAAAUUUUAAAAUUCCCAAAAAUACUCCAGGAAAAUUUAAGAGCAGAUUGUUUUACUCUGAAAAACAAGGAGUGAAAUAUUUCAAGAAGCAGAUUCAUCAUCGACAGGUCAAUAAUUCAUUAAAGGCCCAUAAAAAGAAUGCUAAUAAUUUACACAUUUUAUAGGAUCCUUCACUCAGGAGCCUUUAACAUUUUACAAGCCUGAUCUCAUUCAUCUUCUCAGAACUUUCUCAACUUCUCAGUAUUAUUAUUGCAAAGGGUGAUUAUUCCUAUUACAAAAAUAUGGCAGAGAGGCUGUACAAUUGCCCAUGGAAGUAUAAUUCAGAGGCAGUUUGGGGAUAAGAGCUAUGAAUCCCAAUAAAAUAAAUAAGCAAUAUAGAUAUAUUGUACAGCACAGAGAAAUAUAGCCAUUAUUUUGUAGUAACUUGAAAUGGAGUAUAAUCUAUAAAAACAUUGAAUCAUUAUGUUGUACACCUGAAACUAAUUUAAUAUUGUAAAUCAACUUUACAUCAAUUUUAAAGAGCUUUGAAUCCCAGAUCCUUUCCAAUUUAUCUAAAAAGCAAUUUUCCAUAAAGAGAUCAGAUUCAAAAGAUUUCAAUUUAGUGAGUCCUUGUAAAAUUUUAUCCUCCUUAAGUUAGACUCUAUAAUUCAUGCUCAAGAUUUGUGAGAAAUUUCAUAAAUGUCUUUAAAUCACUAAGAAAAAGAAAAUGUAACAUGAAGUGACAUCAGUCCACACAGGUCUGGUAGUUCUUCCAUCCUGUCUGGAAAUAAGUCAUAGUCUUAGUUGGUGAAAAUGUCAUGUGGGAGGAGACAUACAGAUUACAGAACCAUGAGGUAAUUACUACAGCUUAACUGUCCUACAGAGAAGCUAUUAAGUGUUCAUAAACAGGGUUACAAUAGGAUACAUAUUCUAUGACAAGAUUUGGCCUGUAUUUUCAAUGCUUACAAUUCUUUCUUUGACUUAUUUAAGAGAAGAACUACUAGAAAUUCCAGAAAAGUAAGGAUUUGGCUUGUCUUAAGGACAGUGUUUCAUUAACUUUAGUAGGCAUGCAAAGGACCUGAGACACUUGUAAAAAUUCAGUGGCCAAACCCCCAGAAUUUUGAUUCCCUAGGUUUACAAUGGGAUCCUGGAAUCUGCAUUUUAUGGCAG
Long non-coding RNA from Bos grunniens (domestic yak), 5870 nucleotides. NCBI's taxonomy places the organism in Eukaryota, Metazoa, Chordata, Mammalia, Artiodactyla, Bovidae. The record is from Ensembl.